GUUCAGUCAUUAAUCAGUAAAGUCAGUACAAGUUUGAGUUCUAACAAACAACAUACAAACCGCUUCAACAUGAACAACUUCAUUGUUUUGACUUCCGUCCUGGCCUGCCUCAUUGUAGCAGCUUACGGGGAUCAUCAUCAUCACCAUCACCAUCAUCAUCACAUGGUUCCUCACUAUCACUUCAAAUACGGCGUUCAUGAUCCCCAUACUCAUGACCAUAAGGAGCAAGAGGAGCACCGCCACCACGAUGAUGU
Molecule: RNA transcript, 254 nt
Organism: Dendroctonus ponderosae (mountain pine beetle)
Lineage: Eukaryota; Metazoa; Arthropoda; Insecta; Coleoptera; Curculionidae
Exons: 3
Source: RefSeq, a predicted model, not a curated record